UAAUCCAAAAGAGACCGUGCCUAGCGAGC
RNAcentral lists this non-coding RNA (29 nucleotides) under Mus musculus (house mouse). The record is from RNAcentral. Lineage: Eukaryota; Metazoa; Chordata; Mammalia; Rodentia; Muridae.